This 465-nucleotide ribosomal RNA is filed under the name uncultured bacterium. Its description in RNAcentral is "partial 16S ribosomal RNA". It matches the Rfam family "Bacterial small subunit ribosomal RNA", at positions 339 to 795 of the family's 1533-position model. The record is from RNAcentral.
CUACGGGGGGCUCCAGUGGGGAAUAUUGGACAAUGGGGGAAACCCUGAUCCAGCAAUGCCGCGUGUGUGAAGAAGGCCUGCGGGUUGUAAAGCACUUUCGGUUGGGAGGACUGCUUCUAGCACUAAUAUUGUUGGAAGUUGACGUUUCCUUCAGAAGAAGCACCGGCUAACUCCGUGCCAGCAGCCGCGGUAAUACUGAGGGUGCAAGCGUUAAUCGGAAUUACUGGGCGUAAAGCGCGCGUAGGUGGUUAGAUCAGUUGGGUGUGAAAGCCCCGGGCUUAACCUGGGAACUGCAUCCGAUACUGUCUAGCUUGAGUACAGGAGAGGAGAGUGGAAUUCCACAUGUAGCGGUGAAAUGCGUAGAUAUGUGGAGGAACACCAAUGGCGAAGGCAGCUCUCUGGCCUGAUACUGACGCUGAGGUGCGAAAGCGUGGGGAGCAAACAGGAUUAGAUACCCCAGUAGUC